This 107-nucleotide ribosomal RNA is filed under the name Fusarium proliferatum. Lineage: Eukaryota; Fungi; Ascomycota; Sordariomycetes; Hypocreales; Nectriaceae. The record is from RNAcentral.
ACGACCAUAGGUAGUGGAAAAUACGGGAUCCCGUCCGCUCUCCCAUAGUCAAGCCACUAACCGGCGGAUUAGUAGUUGGCGACCAGCGAAUCCCCGCUGUUGUCUUU